Grammomys surdaster is the source of this 282-nucleotide long non-coding RNA. RefSeq lists it as uncharacterized. The record is from RefSeq and is a predicted model, not a curated record. Lineage: Eukaryota; Metazoa; Chordata; Mammalia; Rodentia; Muridae. The transcript has 2 exons.
GCGCACGCACGGGCCGGGCGGGCCUGGAGACUUAUUUGGCGCCCAGCGCGGAAGCGAACAGUGUGCAUCCAGCUUCUUCAGCCUUCCAACCUAAACUGAAGACCAAUUACUCUCUCAAGAAUCCUCUGGAACUUCAACACCACAUUGGGACUACUGAGGCACCCAGCUGGGUAGAUGGAACAGCUACCAGUCUUCUGUUUCUCUGGUGUUAAGACAGCCAUUGUUGGAUUACCUAAACCAUAUCCUGUAUGUCAAUCUAAUAAAUCCUUUUUCCUAUUUUCA